UUUCAGAGGCAAGACACAGUCCUCUAACAUGGGAGUCCAAAUAGCUAAGUAUUUUCCUAGUUUGGUUUACUUUUUUAUUGUUAAUGUUUUUUUUCUUCCUUUUUAGGCACAUGUUAAGCACAUGUUGCAGAGGUUGUUGCUGUUUUAUAUCGAUGCAUCAUCGGGAAUUUAAGUUGUCUUGAAAGCUCCAUAAAUCCAGAGAAUGCCAGAUAUUGAUGACAAAGGUUGAUGACAAAAUCUGCCCACAAAGGAUCCGCCGCACCACCUUCCUGUUCAAGUGAGGACAGCACAACAAGGAAUUGGUGCUUGGAGUUCGUUGGUCCUCGACCUGACUUGAGGUCGGCGGGUGAAUUCAGAUUGAACCAUUGGAAAGAUGAUACCCCAAAUUAUUAUUUUCGGAUAUACAGACUACGCUGUAGUCAACAAAAAAUGGAUUGCAACUUGCAAAACGUGUGGGAAGACAAUUACAGAUGGAGGCAUAACAACUUUCAACUUUGUUCGACAUUUGAAGCUACACAAAGAACGAUUUGAACAAUACCAGAUGAACAAAAGUGUCACAAGUGAACCACAACAGUCUCCAAUCUCACAGUUCAUGGAGACCCAUGAAUCAUCCACAGCAGAAAGCUAUCAACAAUGCAAUACUGUCCGACCUGGUUAUCGAUUGCAACUUGCCUCUGACGAAAACUCUUGUUUUCCACAAUAGACACUUUCUGCCAGUGGUUGACAGUAAGUACAGCCCAGUGUGUCGUAGAACAUUGGCAUCAAAAAUAGAGAACCUCGCUACAGAGAGACGUUCAAAACUGAAAACUCAGUUGAGCAAGACAGACCAUGUUUCAGUCACAGUGGACAUUUGGUCCGACCGAAAGAUGAGGGGCUUCCUUGGUGUCACUGUGCACUGUAUGGAGAAAGAUGGAGAGAGGAUAAGGCUCAAGUCCAAUCUCUUGGCCUGUGACCACUUCAAAGGCCCACACACAGCCGAAAGAAUCUGUGAGCAAUUUGAGGCCAUAUGUGGUGAGUACAACAUUAAAGAUAAAUUGGACUAUAUCAUUAGUGACAAUGCUGCCAACAUGAGAAAAGCAUUCACGGUGUGAUUCCCCAUUGAACAAGAAGAUGAAGUACAUGAUGAAGAUCACCUUGAUGACCCAGAGCUCUGGAAUGACCUAACCCUGGAAGACCAGCAAACAGUGGAUGCUGCUAUUGCAAAAAACAGAGCUUGCAGUGUUUUGCCCACACUCUCCAGCUGGUGGUGGGAGAUGGAAAGAAACAAAAGUGAUGACUCCUUCUCUUUCAAAGCUAUCAAAAAUCAGCUCACUGCUACAUACAAGCACAACAUUCAAAGAGGUGUUUGAGGCUGAAUUUGGGGAAAGAGGCAUCCCUUCUGCUGUCAACACAAGAUGGAACUCAACACUGAGACAAGUGAAGGCAGUUACCCAAUGUGAUCAUCUUAAGCUCAGUCAUGUUCUACAAAAGGCUGGGCACAAGGAGUUGUUGUUCACAGUACGGGAGUGGAAUAAGUUGAAGGAGUUGGUGGACAUCCUGAAGCCAUUUGGAGAAGCAACAGAUACAGUAUGACACAAGGGGAGAAGAUAGUCACAAUCAGUUCUGUUGUUCCCUCGGUUCUGUCCCUGAAUCACCACCUGGAGCAGCGGAAGCCUCAAGUCCAUUUCCUGAGCGGCCUGGUCAGAAGUCUCCAGGCAUCCCUGAACAAAAGAUUUCUUGGAAUCUUCAUCAAUGUGAAAAUGGCCAGGACACAAGAUGGAAUCACUGCCCCCUUUUCAGAUCCAGUCACCUCAAUGCAGCUGCCUUGGAUCCGGAAUUUUCUCUGAUGUGGGUGGAGCACCAUGUGCUGGUCAAGGAGGAGGUCAAGGAGGAGUUGGCACAAAGAGUGAAAGAACUGAUUCUGCAAGAUGCUACAGGGACUGAGCAAGCUGUGCCUCUUGUUGAUGAGGAAGAGUGAGAGGAACGUAGUCUUGGACAAGAAGAAGGGCUGUUUGCAGCAUACUGUAAGAGGCAGAAGAAAGCUGUUGGGACCACUCCAGCACUACAGCUAAGUCACUACCUUGACAUAUGCGAAGGAUAGAAUGCCCUCUUGUUCUGGGCAAUGAACAGGAAGGCUCUUCCUUCACUGACCUGAGUGGCCAUCAGGGUCUUGGCAGUGCCUGCCUCCAGUGCUCCGGUGGAGCGUGUCUUCAGCCAUGGUGGCAUCAUACUGCGGCCUCAUCGUGCACAAAUGACUGACAGACUUUUAUCGAAUUUGGUCUUUAUCUGAGAUAAGAGAAACAUUUUUACUGUUUAUGCAUUACACACACACAUGUAGUCUCCAUGUUCAAGUUUUAUCUCCCAUCUUUGGGAUCUGUAUUUUUUUUCAGACAUUCAGGCCAGUGUUCAAAUUGUAGGCCUACUUGAAGUUCAGUAUCAGUUGUUUUGAUGUACCUUUAAAUAAAUGAUUAACUUUAUGGCAGGAUUGUUUUAGGUGUCUAGAGUAUAUCCGGAGAGAGAGAGAGCACUACAAUAUUUUGUUUUUGUUGUCAUAUUGAUGUUUCUUUCUCAUGGCUACCCAUGUAUAUCC
This is a long non-coding RNA of Salvelinus namaycush (lake trout), 2569 nucleotides long. RefSeq lists it as uncharacterized. Lineage: Eukaryota; Metazoa; Chordata; Actinopteri; Salmoniformes; Salmonidae. The record is from RefSeq and is a predicted model, not a curated record. The transcript has 5 exons.